AGUGAACGCUGGCGGUAGGCCUAACACAUGCAAGUCGAACGGCAGCACAGUAAGAGCUUGCUCUUACGGGUGGCGAGUGGCGGACGGGUGAGGAAUACAUCGGAAUCUACUUUUUCGUGGGGGAUAACGUAGGGAAACUUACGCUAAUACCGCAUACGACCUACGGGUGAAAGCAGGGGAUCUUCGGACCUUGCGCGAUUGAAUGAGCCGAUGUCGGAUUAGCUAGUUGGCGGGGUAAAGGCCCACCAAGGCGACGAUCCGUAGCUGGUCUGAGAGGAUGAUCAGCCACACUGGAACUGAGACACGGUCCAGACUCCUACGGGAGGCAGCAGUGGGGAAUAUUGGACAAUGGGCGCAAGCCUGAUCCAGCCAUACCGCGUGGGUGAAGAAGGUCUUCGGGUUGUAAAGCCCUUUUGUUGGGAAAGGAAAGCAGCAGGUUAAUACCCCGCUGUUCUGACGGUACCCAAAGAAUAAGCACCGGCGAACUUCGU
Molecule: ribosomal RNA, 491 nt
Filed under: uncultured bacterium
Lineage: Bacteria
Description: partial 16S ribosomal RNA
Rfam family: Bacterial small subunit ribosomal RNA
Source: RNAcentral